GCUAAAUGUCCCCACUCGUGGCUGGAAUUCACUCCAGUCACCGGAGCUGCUGUAGCUGGGAUUUCAUGGGAGUCCUCGAGGACUUUAACCCUUCCCUCUCCAAGCAGAGAUGGUGGAUCCCUAAAUCCUGCCCAGUCCUGGGCUCCGGGCUGAAUUCCAGCCCUCUGGAUGCUGUGAUUCCAUCCCAAGUCAUCAUUCAAGCGGUGCCUGGGGAUGUCGGGGCAGUCAAGAGCCAUGGAGCAAAUCCUGAGUGCCUUCUCCAGCUCGGGGACCAUCAGGAGCUCCUCACCUGCCCUCAGCCCCUCCAAGCUCAGAAUUCCUUGGACUCUGC
RNAcentral lists this long non-coding RNA (331 nucleotides) under Chloebia gouldiae (Gouldian finch). Its description in RNAcentral is "Erythrura gouldiae (Gouldian finch) lncRNA (ENSEGOG00005014714.1)". Lineage: Eukaryota; Metazoa; Chordata; Aves; Passeriformes; Passeridae. The record is from RNAcentral.